Molecule: ribosomal RNA, 253 nt
Filed under: uncultured bacterium
Lineage: Bacteria
Description: partial 16S ribosomal RNA
Rfam family: Bacterial small subunit ribosomal RNA
Source: RNAcentral
UACGUAGGUGGCGAGCGUUGUCCGGAUUUACUGGGCGUAGAGAGCGCGCAGGCGGUCGUGCAAGUCGCGUGUGAAAGCCCCCGGCUCAACUGGGGAGCGUCAUUCGAUACUGAUCGACUUGAAGGCAGGAGAGGGAAGCGGAAUUCCCGGUGUAGUGGUGAAAUGCGUAGAUAUCGGGAGGAACACCAGAGGCGAAGGCGGCUUCCUGGCCUGUUCUUGACGCUGAGGCGCGAAAGCUAGGGGAGCAAACGGG